This is a long non-coding RNA of Trichomycterus rosablanca, 306 nucleotides long. RefSeq lists it as uncharacterized. The transcript is spliced from 3 exons. The record is from RefSeq and is a predicted model, not a curated record. NCBI's taxonomy places the organism in Eukaryota, Metazoa, Chordata, Actinopteri, Siluriformes, Trichomycteridae.
GGGGUGAUGUCAUUUGUCAUUGAGCUGUAGCAAGAGAAGGAUGAACGUCAGGAAGCUGAACUGUUUUAAUUAUAAUAAACUUAUACAUGACAGUCAUUAAUUCAGAAGGACGAGGCUAACAAACCAGCAUUUCAGUCCAUAACAGUCACAAAGAGUAAAUACAUAAACACUUUAGGCAGAACUGCAAGUACUAAAAAAGCAGCCACUUCUCAUCACCUGUGGUGGUAGCUGCAUCAUGCUAUGAGAGUACUCAGGCAGACUCACAAGACUAAGGAAAUGAAUAAAUAUUUUUAACAUUUAAUAAAU